UACGUAGGGGGCAAGCGUUGUCCGGAAUCAUUGGGCGUAAAGCGCGUGUAGGCGGCCAGGUAGGUCGGUUGUGAAAACUGGAGGCUCAACCUCCAGACGUCGACCGAAACCAUCUGGCUAGAGUCCGGAAGAGGAGAGUGGAAUUCCUGGUGUAGCGGUGAAAUGCGCAGAUAUCAGGAAGAACACCGAUGGCGAAGGCAGCUCUCUGGGACGGUACUGACGCUGAGACGCGAAAGCGUGGGGAUCAAACAGG
RNAcentral lists this ribosomal RNA (253 nucleotides) under uncultured bacterium. RNAcentral's name for it is "partial 16S ribosomal RNA". It matches the Rfam family "Bacterial small subunit ribosomal RNA", at positions 524 to 776 of the family's 1533-position model. The record is from RNAcentral.